AUUUAUACUCCAGUUUCAGUUCCGUUGAUUCAAAGUUUUGGGACUUAGGACAAGUUUGCUAGCUUCUCUGAGCCUCAGUUUUUUAAACCGUUAAAUAGGAAUAACAGCAUGCUGAGUGCCAAGAAUUAAAGAAAAAUUUAUGUGAAAAUAUAGAUUAGAAAGAAAACUAAUAUAAAUGCAGGGGAUUAUGAUCAUAAUACUCAUAAAACUUCAGUACUCCCUGGGAAGAUCCAAUGGCCGUCAGUCAUGUGCACGUGAUCAGAAUCUGGGCCAUCAUAUUUUUUUAAGCAAGUUGAUGGCCUGAGGGUUCUUGGCCAGGUGGGAGGAGGCUGCUCUGGGAUGUUGAAGAGAGAUUUUAAAAAGGAGAUGGAAGGCUGUGAAAACAUAGUUCAAAUUGGAGGGAGCUUGGGCAGAUACCACCUUUUCUUUUAAGGAAUGAAUUUGACUUUUGCUGAUGGAGCCUCUCUGAAGGGCAAAUUCAAAGUACAGCUGGGUGCUGCAGCACUGGAGUGCGAACUUGUGGCUGUGGUUAUGAAGGAGCCUCGUCAGCUAUGCCUUUAGCCCCUGGUGAAGCAGUGCCAGUCACACUUUGCCAGUCAAACGGAGAGGCAGCAGUAGUAAGACCAGACCAAAUCAAACCAAACCAAGCAAACCACGGGGAAUGGAGAGAUGGGGGUGUGAAAGGAAAUGAAAUCUUGGGACCCUAAACUCAUUAAGCCAAAGGGAAAAGCUGGGCCGAGAACUGGAUGAUGCAACCUGCUUCCACCUUUUUGCUUCCUAAAUAAGAUGGCUACA
Molecule: long non-coding RNA, 795 nt
Filed under: Homo sapiens (human)
Lineage: Eukaryota; Metazoa; Chordata; Mammalia; Primates; Hominidae
Description: HSALNT0367831
Source: RNAcentral